This 552-nucleotide ribosomal RNA is filed under the name uncultured bacterium. RNAcentral describes it as "bacterial SSU rRNA". It matches the Rfam family "Bacterial small subunit ribosomal RNA", at positions 355 to 897 of the family's 1533-position model. The record is from RNAcentral.
UAGGGAAUCUUCGGCUAAUGGACGGAAGUCUGACCGAGCAACGCCGCGUGAGUGAAGAAGGUUUUCGGAUCGUAAAGCUCUGUUGUAAGAGAAGAACGAGUGUGAGAGUGGAAAGUUCACACUGUGACGGUAUCUUACCAGAAAGGGACGGCUAACUACGUGCCAGCAGCCGCGGUAAUACGUAGGUCCCGAGCGUUGUCCGGAUUUAUUGGGCGUAAAGCGAGCGCAGGCGGUUAGAUAAGUCUGAAGUUAAAGGCUGUGGCUUAACCAUAGUACGCUUUGGAAACUGUUUAACUUGAGUGCAAGAGGGGAGAGUGGAAUUCCAUGUGUAGCGGUGAAAUGCGUAGAUAUAUGGAGGAACACCGGUGGCGAAAGCGGCUCUCUGGCUUGUAACUGACGCUGAGGCUCGAAAGCGUGGGGAGCAAACAGGAUUAGAUACCCUGGUAGUCCACGCCGUAAACGAUGAGUGCUAGGUGUUAGACCCUUUCCGGGGUUUAGUGCCGCAGCUAACGCAUUAAGCACUCCGCCUGGGGAGUACGACCGCAAGGUUGA